AAAAACAUCGCCUCUUGUAUAUUUGUAAAUAAGAGGUCUUACCUGCCCUGUGACUUAUGUUUAACGGCCGCGGUACUCUGACCGUGCAAAGGUAGCACAAUCACUUGUCUUUUAAAUAGAGACUGGUAUGAAUGGUUUGACGAGGGCUUGACUGUCUCCUUUUCUCAAUCAGUGAAAUUGAUCUUCCCGUGCAGAAGCGGGGGUGUUAUUAUAAGACGAGAAGACCCUGUGGAGUUUUAAUCAUAUGGUAGUCUUUGCAAGCAGAUUUUUUCUCUAAAAAGAUAAACUAGUGAGGUUCUGUCCUUAUGAUUUUGGUUGGGGUGACUGUGGGGAAUAAAAAACCCCCAUGUGGGAUAGGAGUACAACUUUUUAAGACUAGGGUGAUGGCCCUAAACAUCAGAACGUUUGACCUUUUAGAUCCGGCAAAGCCGAUUAACAAAACAAAUUACCCCAGGGAUAACAGCGCAAUCCCCUCCGAGAGUCCUUAUCGAAAAGGGGGUUUACGACCUCGAUGUUGGAUCAGGACAUCCUAAUGGUGUAGGCGCUAUUAAGGGUUCGUUUGUUCAACGAUUAAAGUCCUACGUGAUCUGA
Molecule: ribosomal RNA, 591 nt
Filed under: Tetrabrachium ocellatum (four-armed frogfish)
Lineage: Eukaryota; Metazoa; Chordata; Actinopteri; Lophiiformes; Tetrabrachiidae
Description: partial 16S ribosomal RNA
Rfam family: Bacterial large subunit ribosomal RNA
Source: RNAcentral